GAUGAACGCUAGCUACAGGCUUAACACAUGCAAGUCGAGGGGUAACGAGAGGAAAGCUUGCUUUCCUUGUCGACGACCGGCGCACGGGUGAGUAACGCGUAUCCAACCUGCCCCCAACUAAGGAAUAACCUUGCGAAAGUAAGACUAAUACCUUAUAAUUUCCUCAGAUGUCAUCUGACGAUGAAUAAAGAUUUAUCGGUUGUGGAUGGGGAUGCGUCUGAUUAGCUUGUUGGCGGGGUAACGGCCCACCAAGGCAAAGAUCAGUAGGGGUUCUGAGAGGAAGGUCCCCCACAUUGGAACUGAGACACGGUCCAAACUCCUACGGGAGGCAGCAGUGAGGAAUAUUGGUCAAUGGGCGAAAGCCUGAACCAGCCAAGUAGCGUGCAGGAUGACGGCCCUAUGGGUUGUAAACUGCUUUUAUACAGGAAUAAAGUUAGCCACGUGUGGUUAUUUGUAGGUACUGUAUGAAUAAGGACCGGCUAAUUCCGUGCCAGCCGCCGCAGUAA
RNAcentral lists this ribosomal RNA (506 nucleotides) under uncultured bacterium. RNAcentral's name for it is "partial 16S ribosomal RNA". It matches the Rfam family "Bacterial small subunit ribosomal RNA", at positions 28 to 523 of the family's 1533-position model. The record is from RNAcentral.